AACGCACCUUGCGCUCGCUGGUAUUCCGGCGAGCAUGCCUGUUUGAGUGUCAUGAACUCUUCAACCCUCCAAUUCCUUGUUGAAUUGCGAGGUGUUUGGUUUCUGAACGUUGCUGGCUCCCUCGAGAGUGAAGCUCGUUUGUAAUACAUUAGCAUCUCAAUUUUGAAGCAUUUCGGAUUGACUCGGCGUAAUAGACUUUAUUCGCUGAGGAACACUUUUACUAGUGUGCCGAAUUUCAGAGUAGAAGCUACUAAUCUCUUCAUUAUUUGAAGUCUCCAAGAUUAGACCUCAGAUCAGGUAGGACUACCCGCUGAACUUAA
RNAcentral lists this unclassified non-coding RNA (320 nucleotides) under uncultured fungus. Its description in RNAcentral is "partial contains 5.8S ribosomal RNA, internal transcribed spacer 2, and large subunit ribosomal RNA". The stretch from base 1 to 52 matches the Rfam family "5.8S ribosomal RNA", at positions 103 to 154 of the family's 154-position model. The record is from RNAcentral. Lineage: Eukaryota; Fungi.